AACGAACGCUGGCGGCAUGCCUAACACAUGCAAGUCGAACGAGACCUUCGGGUCUAGUGGCGCACGGGUGCGUAACGCGUGGGAACCUGCCCUUAGGUUCGGAAUAACUCCCCGAAAGGGGUGCUAAUACCGGAUAAUGUCUUCGGACCAAAGAUUUAUCGCCUUUGGAUGGGCCCGCGUUGGAUUAGCUAGUUGGUAGGGUAAAAGCCUACCAAGGCGACGAUCCAUAGCUGGUCUGAGAGGAUGAUCAGCCACACUGGGACUGAGACACGGCCCAGACUCCUACGGGAAGGAGGAAUGGGGGAAAAUGGACAAUGGGCGAAAGCCUGAUCCAGCAAUGCCGCGUGAGUGAUGAAGGCCUUAGGGUUGUAAAGCUCUUUUACCCGGGAUGAUAAUGACAGUACCGGGAGAAUAAGCUCCGGCUAACUCCGUG
This 433-nucleotide ribosomal RNA is filed under the name uncultured bacterium. RNAcentral describes it as "partial 16S ribosomal RNA". It matches the Rfam family "Bacterial small subunit ribosomal RNA", at positions 29 to 507 of the family's 1533-position model. The record is from RNAcentral.